CAACCUGAGAGUUUGAUCCUGGCUCAGAACGAACGCUGGCGGCAUGCCUAACACAUGCAAGUCGAACGGCUCUUCGGAGCAGUGGCGCACGGGUGAGUAACGCGUGGGAAUCUACCCUGAGGUUCGGAAUAACGGUUGGAAACGACCGCUAAUACCGGAUGUGCCCUAUGGGGCAAAGGCUUGCCGCCUUGGGAGGAGCCCGCGUCCGAUUAGCUUGUUGGUGGGGUAACGGCCUACCAAGGCGACGAUCGGUAGCUGGUCUGAGAGGAUGAUCAGCCACACUGGGACUGAGACACGGCCCAGACUCCUACGGGAGGCAGCAGUGGGGAAUAUUGGACAAUGGGCGAAAGCCUGAUCCAGCAAUGCCGCGUGUGUGACGAAGGCCUUAGGGUUGUAAAACACUUUCGCCGAUGACGAUGAUGACGGUAGUCGGAUAAGAAGCCCCGGCUAACUCCGUGCCAGCAGCCGCGGUAAUACGGAGGGGGCGAGCGUUGUUCG
This 498-nucleotide non-coding RNA is filed under the name alpha proteobacterium BAL199. RNAcentral describes it as "Bacterial small subunit ribosomal RNA". It matches the Rfam family "Bacterial small subunit ribosomal RNA", at positions 1 to 547 of the family's 1533-position model. Lineage: Bacteria; Pseudomonadati; Pseudomonadota; Alphaproteobacteria. The record is from Rfam by way of RNAcentral.